AUCACAAAACCUAAAGGAUCCCAUACAAUGUGGUUUGCUAGAAAUCUCUACAGAUGUGUUGGUCAGCCAGCCAUCUUGAAGGAUUACAGCAUAGAAUUAAUGAAGCUAAAGUCUUAGGGAACAAUUGUAUUCCAUUACAAUCAUAUGCUACAAAUUGUUCACCUCUUCCCCAAAUAAGAAACAUCCCUUCAGUUCUCAGUUAUUUGACAACACAAGAAGGGCUGAUGUAAAAUUUUUGAAGGAUUGUCCUUUUCUCCUCUCUUUGAUCACUGUGUGUGAAAAUGACAUCUGUUCCCUGAAAGAGAAAUGACAGAAUCUGAAUGCAGACUUCAAUGCAGAAUGCAGAAUCAAUAUCCAUUGAUUCUGUUUAGGGGAAAAAUGACACUUUCAGAAGCUCAGCAUUGAUUUCUGGAACCCAUACUAUGCAAGUCAAACUGGACUCAUUCAUUGUAAUCUACAGAGACCUUUUAGCAUUUUGCCACUGGCCCAGUUCCACUCCGUGACAAGUGAUCUAAAUAAAGCAAAAUAACAAAGCAAAGACUUUAUGAUUCUGCAAAAUUGCAAAACCCAACACACACUCACACACACACACACACACACACAUCAACUUUUCAGACUCCAGUCUUCAGCAUUAAUUGACUUUGAUGGACUUUGCAUGGAUUGUUUUUCAUCACCAACUAUGAAGAAGUUGAGGCCAAAUGAGAUUAAGGAACUUAUCCAAGAUCAAAGAAAUAACAAGUAGUAGUACUGGAUAUCCAGGUUAACUGAUUACAAAUCCUGUAUUCUUUUUACUAACUUGUGCUGUCUUUUUGUCCUGGAGAACUGUUGCUCUGAAUUUUUUUGAGUAAUCAACCCAAAACAGAGUCCCCAUGGGUGUCUCCUGUUUCCUGCUGCUGUCAACUUGUCUACUCUUUGCCUAUUGCCAUAUACUUGAUACUGUAUUAUAUCAACAUUCAUACAUCCAUCUUAACAGUCUUACCUAUUCUAUGAAAAAGCACUGUCCUAGGUGCUAAGGAUACAAAGAUAACACUGAGGUUUCAUUCUUGCUGUAAAAUGCUUACCAUCUAAUGGUGAGGAAAAACACACACAAAAACUCCAACAUUUAAAUGUGGCUCCAGACUAAAGGAGCUAGAAUGACUCAUUAGUUUCCAUGACAUAUUCACUCUAUUCUCUAUUCAAGUAGUGUUUUCAUUGACUGACAUUCAUGCCUGGAAUUCUCUCUUUUCCCAUUUCUGCCUCCUAGCUUCUCUAGAUUCCCUCAUAUCCCAGAUAAAAUCCUGCCUUCCACAAGAAACCUUUAUUUAGUCUUCUUCUUAAAACUAGCUCCUUUCUCCUGUGGUUAUCUCUAAUUCAUCAAAUAAAUCUGUAUGCUAUACAUUCA
Molecule: long non-coding RNA, 1381 nt
Filed under: Monodelphis domestica (gray short-tailed opossum)
Lineage: Eukaryota; Metazoa; Chordata; Mammalia; Didelphimorphia; Didelphidae
Description: lncRNA (ENSMODG00000051158.1)
Source: RNAcentral